This 404-nucleotide ribosomal RNA is filed under the name Actinomycetes bacterium. RNAcentral's name for it is "Actinobacteria bacterium partial 16S ribosomal RNA". It matches the Rfam family "Bacterial small subunit ribosomal RNA", at positions 355 to 776 of the family's 1533-position model. The record is from RNAcentral. Lineage: Bacteria; Bacillati; Actinomycetota; Actinomycetes.
UGGGGAAUAUUGGACAAUGGGCGCAAGCCUGAUCCAGCCAUGCCGCGUGAGUGAUGAAGGCCCUAGGGUUGUAAAGCUCUUUCACCGGUGAAGAUAAUGACGGUAACCGGAGAAGAAGCCCCGGCUAACUUCGUGCCAGCAGCCGCGGUAAUACGAAGGGGGCUAGCGUUGUUCGGAUUUACUGGGCGUAAAGCGCACGUAGGCGGACUUUUAAGUCAGGGGUGAAAUCCCGGGGCUCAACCCCGGAACUGCCUUUGAUACUGGAAGUCUUGAGUAUGGUAGAGGUGAGUGGAAUUCCGAGUGUAGAGGGGAAAUUCGUAGAUAUUCGGAGGAACACCAGUGGCGAAGGCGGCUCACUGGACCAUUACUGACGCUGAGGGGCGAAAGCGUGGGGAGCAAACAGG